UCCUCGUUAAAAAGAUAACCCAGGUGUGUUAUCUUCAAUUUCUCAAUAACGCGUGCAAAGUUUUUCGUCUGUAACGUAUAACAUCAAAACAUUAUGAGCUCAGAAUAUGCGGUUCGUUGAAAAUAAUUAAAAAUAUUAUGAGGUUUCGUAUGUAACAAAGAAAAACUAUUCUAUACUAUGGUCGAAAUGAUAACACAAUCUGUUAAUAUGUUUAGAAAUUGCUCAGUAGUUCAUGAUCUAUCAACGAGUAAAGAUUACAGUACAAUAUUAUAUAAAUUUACGAAAAAGAUUCAACUUGGAUGGUCCUGAUAGAUUUCAAUAUUAUUUUCAUGACACAAGAAAAGAGACGAUGUCAGCAAUUCGACGACAAAUGGGAGGAGGCAGCGUGAUGGUUUGGGCCAGCGUCGGUUAUUUCGGCAAGACAAGUAUCAAGUUCAUCGACGGCAGAAUGAAUAGUGUUUGAUACAUAAAUUUAAUCAAAAAACAAAUAAAUAAUCAUGCAGAACGCAUUUCUGGAUCUAAUUGCAUCUUUCAACAAGAUAAUGCAUUUGUACACACAUCAACAUUGGUUCUAUUUUAUUUUAAUGAAAAUAAUAUAUUUAUUUUGUCGUGGCGUGCACGCUGCCCGGACCUUAAUAUUAUUGAAAAUUGCUGGGCAGAACUUGUUCACGGCGUAUACGCAAAUAGAAAGAAAUAUCAACAGGUACAAGAAUUAAAAAAUACAAUUGUACGCGAAUGGGAUACGUUUAGUCAAAAUUACAUCCAGAAACUAUAUAAAUCGAUACCACAUCGUAUAAUAGAAGUAAUAGAAAAUAAAGAGGAUCUACCCAUUAUUAAAUAAGUAUAUGUGUUUGAUAAGUAAUUAUUGUUAGUUACAAUUUAUGUUGAUUAUUAUUUUCUUAUUGUACAUGUGCUUCUUCUCGUUCUUAAAAUAAAACAAUUUUUUUUUGUUACACACUAAACCUCAUAAUA
Bombus pascuorum is the source of this 972-nucleotide long non-coding RNA. RefSeq lists it as uncharacterized. The record is from RefSeq and is a predicted model, not a curated record. The transcript is spliced from 2 exons. NCBI's taxonomy places the organism in Eukaryota, Metazoa, Arthropoda, Insecta, Hymenoptera, Apidae.